AUCGAACGCUGGCGGCAUGCCUUACACAUGCAAGUCGAACGGUAGAGGAGCAAUCCUCGAGAGUGGCGAACGGGUGAGUAAUGCAUCGGAACGUGCCCAGUAAUGGGGGAUAGCCCGGCGAAAGCCGGAUUAAUACCGCAUACGACCUAAGGGUGAAAGAGGGGGAUCGCAAGACCUCUCGUUAUUGGAGCGGCCGAUGUCAGAUUAGGUAGUUGGUGGGGUAAAGGCCUACCAAGCCAACGAUCUGUAGCUGGUCUGAGAGGACGACCAGCCACACUGGGACUGGGACACGGCCCAGACUCCUACGGGAGGCAGCAGUGGGGAAUUUUGGACAAUGGGCGCAAGCCUGAUCCAGCCAUGCCGCGUGCGGGAAGAAGGCCUUCGGGUUGUAAGCCGCUUUUGUCAGGGAAGAAAUCUUCUGGGUUAAUACCUCGGGAGGAUGACGGUACCUGAAGAAUAAGCACCGGCUAACUACGUGCCAGCCGCCGCCGUAA
RNAcentral lists this ribosomal RNA (494 nucleotides) under uncultured bacterium. RNAcentral's name for it is "partial 16S ribosomal RNA". It matches the Rfam family "Bacterial small subunit ribosomal RNA", at positions 30 to 523 of the family's 1533-position model. The record is from RNAcentral.